This 3134-nucleotide long non-coding RNA is filed under the name Homo sapiens (human). RNAcentral describes it as "HSALNT0385449". The record is from RNAcentral. Lineage: Eukaryota; Metazoa; Chordata; Mammalia; Primates; Hominidae.
UCAAGAAUGUACAGCUCCAAACACCUGCUCCUCCACAGAAACAGGGAAAACCAAGCAGAACUGUCAGAAACGAUGUUGUAAAACCUGUUGAAAACCAUCAAGUUGUACAGCAACCAUGUAACUACAAAAUCAAGAAAAACAAUGAAGAACAGGAGAAAAGCCUCGUGGACUUUUUACACGUCCUUGCCCAAAUCCUUCCCUUACUUGAUGGCAGUCUUAAAAACAACAUCCUGAGUUGCCAGUAUGGGCCUCUGCUCAGUGGUUCCAGAGGGAAAAGAGGAGGUCUUACUUGCAAAGUAUUGUGUUGUUACAUUAAAAUCUGUAUUAGGGCUAUCCAGAGGUCUGAAACAAGGCUCUCUUUUUUCUCUAAGUCAGAAAAAAAAAUCAGUUUAAAAAAUUGGCACGAGUUACUUGGGAGUAUUUUAAGGAAACUGAAAGCCAGCAGCCCCCUGGAGAACAGAUUACAGACGACACAUACAAUAGGUCACAUAAAGCCAAGAAUAAAAAGCUAACGUGAGAUUUUGUUUUGUUUUACAAAUUAGGCUAUUAAAAAGCACCCAGGUAUGCUGGCAAAUUGACAAAGCACUCUGUGCAUAACCACGAAAAACACAUUUUCUUAAAGACCCAAGAAGACCCUCAUUUUCAGCACUGGCUGACCUUCAGGCUCAGCUCAGCAGAAAGUGAAGACUGAAGCAAAGUUUUCAACAGUCUGCACAUGUGUUAAAGGAACGCCCCAGCCCAGAGCCAUCCACAAAAACUGGAAGAAUCCGUCAGUUUGUCUUUGUCUCAGUUUUGUCAUAUAGACCUUUGUGACACACAGAUCUAUAUACAAUGGAAACUACAAAUUUCUAAUGAAAGAGCCAUGAAAGAUCACAAAAGAUCUUAAUAAAUAGAAAGACAUUUAAUGUGCAUGAUCAUAAAAUCUCAAUAUUGUCAAGAUAUAAUUUCUCCCCAAUUUGAGUUAUAGGCAAGAGAGUCACAUCAUCUAGGUGAUUGGCCAAACAUAUGUCACAAUCCCUUCCAUUGACAGCUCCCAAAAAAGGAGUUACAUCACCUAGGUGCUCAGCUCUGAGAUGUGUCACAACAUUGCCCAAUACAGGCAGGCCACAGGCGGGAGAGUCACAUUUCCUGGGUGCUUGGCCCAGUGGUAUGUCACAUUUCCUUAUGUAGGAAGGGCACACGUAGCAAGAGAGAGUCACAUUACCUAGGUACUGUGCUAGAGCUAUCAGUCUCUGUGUCGUUCAAUGUGAGAGUUAUGAUCUCUUUAGACAUCCAUGUAACAGAGCCUCAACUCCUUCAUCCUCAGAUGUAAAGGCUAGUGAAGACCAAAUAAGCCUUGAAAGGUAAUUCCCCUAAAAAGGCAGAAUGUCUUAGGCUUUGGCCUCUCCCCUUCAAGCACAAUGAGAUCAUAACCUCUCUUUUGACUUCUCACUAUGCCCAGCACUGGAACAAAGCUCCUGACUCCACACCCUCACCUUUCCACCCUUGUGCCUUCACUGGGCAGACAAGAGAUGAGAAGACCUGAACUCUGGGACAGUCUGGGGAGAAAAGAAUCCAAAAAGGGUUGAGGCGGCAAGGGCUGAGCUCCCACGGGUGCCCCGGCCCAAAGGUGCAGGUCCAGGCUGUUUUCCAGGUGGCAUUCAGUGCAGGUUCUUCAAUGCCACUGGAAGGCAUGAAAAACCCACUGUAGCUGCUGCUGCUUCCUUUUCUUAAGCUGUGAAAAUGCAAACACUUUUUCAAGGUUUUCAGAUAUGCCCAGGUACCCCCAACUGAAAAGGAGGAUAAUGGCAUUGUUCAUCAUGGCUUAUUGUCUUGCCCAGGCAGGAGCCAGCCCCUGACUCGCCAAUCCAGCUGCCCCAGGCUGGAGGUGAUCCUUUCGAGCCUCCUCCCUGCAACUCCACUCCUCUUUUUUCUCUUCCUCAACCACCGGCAUACUUUUGGUCAUCCUCCUUGUUGUCACAAUGGGGGCGUGAUGCCAUAAAGACCUGGGAACCCCAAUGAUCUCAGGUCCCGCAGGGGUCAGGUGAGCAUAUAGGAAGUCCAGAAGGACAGUCAUCUGCCACCUCCAGUUGAAAAAGAACAAAACCCUCGCACUCCAGAAAUGAGUCAAGAACCCAGCGAAGGCCACAGGUCUAGCCCACAACCACCUAGUGUCCAGGUGAAGACGCCGGGAGUCAGAGAGGAAAGUCUUUUGAAGCCUCCAAAAGGAAUGCACAGGACCCCACUUGAAGAGGUGGAGUGCCCAGUGGCGGAUACAGGCCCCACACAUCGCAGCAGUAAACAGGUAAGGCGCUCCCUGGCCCAUGCCUGUUUCCUGGAAACUGAAGCCAUGCCCAGGCUGGGAGUCACCAUUCCAGAAACAGAAUAAGCUGUUGGGCUGGCUACCUCACCCAGCACCCGGCCACGCCAGAGAGAAUCUUGGAUGCUGCUUUCCCACAGGCUGUAGUGCCUUCCAAGUUAGGCCACCCUAAUAACAGUUCUCCCACAGGGACUCCACGGUGUCCAGCUCUCCAGCCUGGGGUUUCUCAUCACCCAGUGAUUCCAAAAGAAACGAUCUACAAUGGCAUGACUAAGUUCCAGAAACAAAUAAACAAAAUACUGAGGGAAGCCCGUUGGUCACUUUGAUUCUUCAAAGGUGACAAUUGUCCCUCCCUGAAAUCUUGUGAGUGCAUGAACAGGCUAUUCUAAUGUAAAUGAAAUUCACACUAAAACUGAUUGAAAGAUGAUUCUGUUUCCAAGGUACUUUGUAUUCUCAAAUUGCACCUGCUUACCCUGGCCCCCUCAAAAUGGAAGAGUGAUGACUAUUUGUCUUCGUAGCACUGUGGGGACACAGAGCCUUAAAUGGAAGAGUGUCAAAAGCAACAUUCCAUAAAGGGCUGUCACUUCCAAUUUUCAAGCAAGGUUGGAAACCAACCAUGAUGUAUGAAACACUGUUGGCCAAAGUGCACAAUUAGUAAUACAAAAUGAAUAAUAUAAACUAUUGUAAAUAUGUGUGGACAUCGUGGCAAUUUGGACAUCAAAAAACACUGCCAAAUUCAGAAAGAGGAAGCUGUAAACUCAUGGCUGUUAGGAAGCUUAACUUCUGUGUACUAGAACCUAUCAAAAUUAAAUUUCUCCAUGUCAAUCCGUCCAAA